AUUUUUUUAUAGUGAAGCUGAAGAAGAAAUGCAGCAACCCCUACACUAACAAAUUUCAGUGGCUCCUAUACCUAAAAAUCUACCAAAUGUAGCUCCAACAAGUGCUGAAAAUUCACCAACAGCAACAGAAGCUACUGAUGCAACAAUUGAAUCCCAUCUUUGCUGUAUUUAAAAGAGGCAUGCGUGGAUGAUAUACUAUAAGGUAACUAGAAUUGACCAAACUAAAGAUCCAAUCACCUACUUUGUUUUAUUUUCAGAUUUUGACCCUACAACU
RNAcentral lists this long non-coding RNA (274 nucleotides) under Olea europaea (common olive). RNAcentral describes it as "long non-coding RNA (OEUR_LNC007608)". The record is from RNAcentral. Lineage: Eukaryota; Viridiplantae; Streptophyta; Magnoliopsida; Lamiales; Oleaceae.